GUGAGGAAUAUUGGUCAAUGGGCGGGAGCCUGAACCAGCCAAGUCGCGUGAAGGAAGAAGGAUCUAUGGUUCGUAAACUUCUUUUGCAGGGGAAUAAAGUGCAGGACGUGUCCUGUUUUGUAUGUACCCUGAGAAUAAGGAUCAGCUAACUCCGUGCCAGCAGCCGCGGUAAUACGGAGGAUCCGAGCGUUAUCCGGAUUUAUUGGGUUUAAAGGGUGCGUAGGUGGUUUGAUAAGUCAGCGGUGAAAGUUUGCAGCUUAACUGUAAAAAUGCCGUUGAAACUGUCGGACUUGAGUGUAAAUGAGGUAGGCGGAAUGCGUGGUGUAGCGGUGAAAUGCAUAGAUAUCACGCAGAACUCCGAUUGCGAAGGCAGCUUACUAAGCUACAACUGACACUGAAGCACGAAAGCGUGGGGAUCAAACAGGAUUAGAUACCCGAGUAGUCC
RNAcentral lists this ribosomal RNA (445 nucleotides) under uncultured bacterium. RNAcentral describes it as "partial 16S ribosomal RNA". It matches the Rfam family "Bacterial small subunit ribosomal RNA", at positions 354 to 796 of the family's 1533-position model. The record is from RNAcentral.